This 301-nucleotide ribosomal RNA is filed under the name uncultured bacterium. Its description in RNAcentral is "partial 16S ribosomal RNA". It matches the Rfam family "Bacterial small subunit ribosomal RNA", at positions 509 to 807 of the family's 1533-position model. The record is from RNAcentral.
CAGCAGCCGCGGGAAUACGAAGGGUGCAAGCGUUAAUCGGAAUUACUGGGCGUAAAGCGUGCGUAGGCGGUGAGUUAAGUCUGCUGUGAAAUCCCCGGGCUCAACCUGGGAAUGGCAGUGGAUACUGGCUCGCUAGAGUGUGUCAGAGGAUGGUGGAAUUCCCGGUGUAGCGGUGAAAUGCGUAGAGAUCGGGAGGAACAUCAGUGGCGAAGGCGGCCAUCCGGGACAACACUGACGCUGAGGCACGAAAGCGUGGGGAGCAAACAGGAUUAGAUACCCCCGUAGUCCCUGUCUCUUAUAC